UAGAAAGAGAUGCUCCGCCUACUUUUUCGUUCGUGUCAGUGCUCAGUGGAGCCAAGUUGCAAGUUGCACACAGCAGCAAAAAUGUGGUGUAGAGAAAAAAAGCUUGUCGUAAGUUUAUACCAGAACUGCACAAGAGACGCAUGAAAGUUUUCUCGUGGUCGAAAGGUUGUUCUGUUGGAACCGGAUUAUCACAUUGGUUAUGUUAUGUACUGUGGCUAUAUGGUAUAUAUGUGUUUAAAUUAGGAGAACAUUUCAUUUAAAUCAGCUCUAAGGUAUUUUAUGAUUACUGUAUAUGGUAAAUGAAAGCACCACCAAAUUACUAACCUAUCUAAAAUUUAAAUUGAACCACUUUGAGCUCCAGUUUUUGUGUUGAAAAAGGCCACAUCAUAAAGGUUUUUCAGGGUUUGGAUUACCUGUAGGUGUUUGUUCAUAAAUUUGGUGCCAAGCAGGAUGUCUAUGGAUAAGUGAGAUGGCAGUUUGAUAGCCAGUGUUCAUUCAUUGGGUAACUUUGCCAUGUGACCUUGCUAUGAGGUUUUUCAUGGUUUCUGCUGAAUCUGAACG
Molecule: long non-coding RNA, 561 nt
Organism: Daphnia carinata
Lineage: Eukaryota; Metazoa; Arthropoda; Branchiopoda; Diplostraca; Daphniidae
Exons: 3
Source: RefSeq, a predicted model, not a curated record